Molecule: ribosomal RNA, 372 nt
Filed under: uncultured organism
Description: bacterial SSU rRNA
Rfam family: Bacterial small subunit ribosomal RNA
Source: RNAcentral
CAGAGGGUGCGAACGUUGCUCGGAAUUACUGGGCGUAAAGCGCGUGUAGGCGGGUGAUCAAGUCGGGCGUGAAAGCCCUGGGCUCAACCCAGGAACUGCACUCGAAACUGGUUGCCUUGAGUGUUGGAGAGGGAAGCGGAAUUCCUGGUGUAGAGGUGAAAUUCGUAGAUAUCAGGAGGAACACCGGUGGCGAAGGCGGCUUCCUGGACAAUUACUGACGCUGAGACGCGAAAGCGUGGGGAGCAAACAGGAUUAGAUACCCUGGUAGUCCACGCCGUAAACGAUGAGUGCUAGGUGUCUCGGGCAUUGACCCCUGAGGUGCCGUAGCUAACGCGUUAAGCACUCCGCCUGGGAACUACGGCCGCAAGGCUA